Piliocolobus tephrosceles (Ugandan red Colobus) is the source of this 470-nucleotide long non-coding RNA. RefSeq lists it as uncharacterized. NCBI's taxonomy places the organism in Eukaryota, Metazoa, Chordata, Mammalia, Primates, Cercopithecidae. The record is from RefSeq and is a predicted model, not a curated record. The transcript has a single exon.
AUGGAGCUGCCCCAGAGUCAAUUUUCUUGGAAGCAAUGCAAAGCAGAGCUUCCUGGGAGAAGACACAAUGCCUCCUAUUGUCUCUGUCACUUCCCCUCCAGCCUCCCAUCGUUUCUGCGUCUCCUCGGGAGCCACUGCCCUGUGCAAAAGCUGUUUGCUGAUGCCCAGCCGCGGUUUCCAAAACCCCCAUGAGUAGUCGUUUCUGUCCACAGUCAUUGUUUCCAGACCAGCCAAGCCGAAUGGGGAGGAGAGGCCAGGCCCAGGGAGAGCAGGAAGAGACCCAGCGUGCAACACAGGCCCCCGGCGGCUGGUGUCGGCUCGUGGAUUGCUGGGGGGCAGCUGGUGCCAACCCUGCUAGACGUGUCCAGGAUCGGGUCAGAGGCCAGGGUGGCUCACAUCCACAGGCUCCAGGAGGAGGCUCUCGAGGCCCCAGGUUCCUGGAGGAUGACAGAGUGUGGAUUAUCCAGUGA